CGGGACUCUCAAGAGUCUUCUCCAACACCACAGUUCAAAAGCAUCAAUUCUUUGGCCCUCAGCUUUCUUUAUAGUCCAACUCUCACAUCCAUACAUGAUUACUGGAAAAACCAUAGCUUUAACUAGACAGACCUUUGUUGGUAAAGUGAUGUCUCUGCUUUAAUAUGCUGCCUAGGCUUGUUGCAGCACUCAGAAUUUGAGGAACCAGGAUUGACCCUUUCCUCCAACUCUUCUCCCAGUGCACCACUGGUCCGGGAGUCAGGACGAAUGCGUGUCAGCUCUGUCUCUGCCACCUUCCUUGGGAUAUCAGGAAAGCUCUCUUUAGUACCAGUUUCCUCAUCUGACAAACGCAUGGCUCACACUAGGCCUUCCACAAAUCCAGCACUUAGUGAUUCACUAUAUCAUCACCCACUCCUAAUGUUCUGUUUGAGGGAUUUAGUAUUUUUAUCUUCUUUUUUUAAAAAAAUCAGGAAUUUGAGCCUGUAGCCAAUGAACUUUCCUCCCCCGUUAUGAGAAACAAUCCUCAGAAUCCCAAGGAAACCAGGUCCAGGACUUCUCCCAGGGGAGGUUUCUGCAUGCGCAUAACGUACUCUGUCUUAAAAAAAAAAAACAAAACUCUUGACGUCCUUCCCUCCAGUGAAGUCAAUGACUUGCAACUUCCUUUCCCAAGUCCCCACAGAAUUUUAGGCAAAUUAACGCAGGAGCAUUUGAUCUUCUCCCCAGAUGUUUUGAUCACAGAAGGGCCACAUAUGUGCACACAUUCCUGGAUAUUUUUAGGUUUUUUUAUAAGCUCCAAAGUUCUAACUGCUUUUUCACUCCGCGCAUUGUGGGCACUGCCGGGAGAUGUUCCUGCCGAAGCUGCCAAGGCAGGGUCUGGUGGAAGGGGGCCUGGCCCGGGAAGGCUCCCGGAAGUUGCUCUGAGCGAUCCUGGAUGCUGCAUGGCUUCAGUCCCUGAGGCCUCUCUGGCCACUAAGAGAACACAAACCGCUGCCAGGAUGCCAGAGAGGUGCAGGGGAGUUUCCUCCUGUGAAAAAUCUCUGUCUGACUCUGCCCUUGAGAAAACAUUGGUGUGGCUACAGUAGGUAGCCCUUCCUCUCUGAAAGACGCAGAGUGAGAGCACAGCCCCACCCUGCAGCUUCCAGAACCCUUGGCUCCGGGACUUUCUCAGGCUCUCCUCUUUGCAUUGUCAAAACGGAACAGACUGCGCAGAAGGAACGUGUUUGGUGCUGAGACCGGAGCCAGGGCACUAUGCACGGAUCCAGACAAUCUGCUCCACUCCUUCCAAGGAGAGAGGAAAGGCUUUCAGUACUUGCUGACAACCAAGCCAGCGAUGGGAACAUCUCUGGGUGACCAGGGGUAAACAAAGCAAGAGACGUACACCCUAUGCUGAUGCACUUUGAGAAAUAAAGGGCUUCUAGCUUUAAAUACUGUGGUUUCAUAUUGUGUGUGUGUGUGUGUGUGUGUGUGUGUGUGUGUGUGUGUGUGUUUUAGGGUGGUUGUGGUGAUGCAAAAGCUGUCAGGUCCCACCUCCCCCCAGAGCUUGAAUUGCAUUGAUGGCCCCUCUUCCACACUUCCCUUGGACACCUUCAGGGACCAAACCCUCUCACUGUUAGAUAGCUCUAAUAGAAAGCUUUCGGUCACUUUGAUGGUUUAUCCUUUUGUCUUAAGCCCAAUUCUUUCCUCCAUUUGGAACUGGUCCAAUCCUUCUUCCCCAGGAAAGAUUUGUAGAGGCAACCAUGGUGGUAUUGGUAACAAUACCACCCAAAUCUAUUCUUCAGGCUAAACAGACCAAGUUCUUUCAAAUGUCUUUCCCGUGACAGUUUUGAGUCUCCCUGCUUCCUGAUCACCUCUUUCUUGUCACCACAUAAGUGACACAAUACUCUGGUUGUCUGUAGUUCUCACACAGUAAGUUAUUUGGGAUGGACAAGUUUUCCAGAGGGUUGAGGGGCUACCUCUUUAGCACCACACUUUUAAAAAGCAUGACAGAAAGCAUGCAGGAUGCGGGCCCCAUGUAGCAAGCAUAGAUCUCUAUCAUUUUUCUUUCUGAUGUUUCUCAUCACCUCUGACAUCAUCUCCUGAUACUUCUUCCCACACACCUCUUCAAGUCUCUUUGCUCACCAUCUCCUGACAAGACUGGACUUUCUGUGCCAUCAGAGAAAGAACAAGGACCAAUGAGAGGAAGCCACAAAACGUCAG
Capra hircus (goat) is the source of this 2196-nucleotide long non-coding RNA. NCBI's taxonomy places the organism in Eukaryota, Metazoa, Chordata, Mammalia, Artiodactyla, Bovidae. The record is from Ensembl.